CAUGUCUAGCUUGCUAGAUGAUGUCGAGUGGCGGACGGGUGAGUAAUGCUUGGGAACUUGCCUUUGCGAGGGGGAUAACAGUUGGAAACGACUGCUAAUACCGCAUAAUGUCUUCGGACCAAACGGGGCUUCGGCUCCGGCGCAAAGAGAGGCCCAAGUGAGAUUAGCUAGUUGGUGAGGUAAAGGCUCACCAAGGCAACGAUCUCUAGCUGUUCUGAGAGGAAGAUCAGCCACACUGGGACUGAGACACGGCCCAGACUCCUACGGGAGGCAGCAGUGGGGAAUAUUGCACAAUGGGGGAAACCCUGAUGCAGCCAUGCCGCGUGUGUGAAGAAGGCCUUCGGGUUGUAAAGCACUUUCAGUUGUGAGGAAAAGUUAGUAGUUAAUACCUGCUAGCCGUGACGUUAACAACAGAAGAAGCACCGGCUAACUCCGUGCCAGCAGCCGCGGUAAUACGGAGGGUGCGAGCGUUAAUCGGAAUUACUGGGCGUAAAGCGCACGCAGGCGGUUUGUUAAGCUAGAUGUGAAAGCCCCGGGCUCAACCUGGGACGGUCA
RNAcentral lists this ribosomal RNA (555 nucleotides) under Alteromonas sp. RNAcentral describes it as "bacterial SSU rRNA". It matches the Rfam family "Bacterial small subunit ribosomal RNA", at positions 70 to 625 of the family's 1533-position model. Lineage: Bacteria; Pseudomonadati; Pseudomonadota; Gammaproteobacteria; Alteromonadales; Alteromonadaceae. The record is from RNAcentral.